Small nucleolar RNA from Labrus bergylta (ballan wrasse), 121 nucleotides. The record is from Ensembl. Lineage: Eukaryota; Metazoa; Chordata; Actinopteri; Labriformes; Labridae.
CUCCAAUGAUGAUCCAGCCAUGCUAAUACCGAUACACUGGGUAGAUGGUGUUUAUCUGCCUAGGUGUAAGUGAGUUCAACUCACCUUCUCACGCUGAUGGUAUCAGUGUGUGCUGAGGAGA